UCAGGACGAACGCUGGCGGCGUGCCUAAUACAUGCAAGUCGAGCGGAAUGAUGAAGAAGCUUGCUUCUUCUGAUUUUAGCGGCGGACGGGUGAGUAACACGUGGGCAACCUACCUUGUAGAUUGGGAUAACUCCGGGAAACCGGGGCUAAUACCGAAUAAACCAUUUUGCUUCAUGGCAAGAUGUUGAAAGGCGGCUUCGGCUGUCACUACUAGAUGGGCCCGCGGCGUAUUAGCUAGUUGGUAGGGUAAUGGCCUACCAAGGCGACGAUACGUAGCCGACCUGAGAGGGUGAUCGGCCACACUGGGACUGAGACACGGCCCAGACUCCUACGGGAGGCAGCAGUAGGGAAUCUUCCACAAUGGACGAAAGUCUGAUGGAGCAACGCCGCGUGAGUGAAGAAGGUUUUCGGAUCGUAAAACUCUGUUGUAAGGGAAGAACACGUACGAGAGUAACUGCUCGUACCUUGACGG
Molecule: ribosomal RNA, 472 nt
Filed under: Paenisporosarcina macmurdoensis
Lineage: Bacteria; Bacillati; Bacillota; Bacilli; Caryophanales; Caryophanaceae
Description: bacterial SSU rRNA
Rfam family: Bacterial small subunit ribosomal RNA
Source: RNAcentral